CUCCCAACCCCUGUGAACAUACCUUAUGUUGCCUCGGCGGAUCAGCCCGCGCCCCGUAAAAAGGGACGGCCCGCCGCAGGAACCCUAAACUCUGUUUUUAGUGGAACUUCUGAGUAUAAAAAAACAAAUAAAUCAAAACUUUCAACAACGGAUCUCUUGGUUCUGGCAUCGAUGAAGAACGCAGCAAAAUGCGAUAAGUAAUGUGAAUUGCAGAAUUCAGUGAAUCAUCGAAUCUUUGAACGCACAUUGCGCCCGCCAGUAUUCUGGCGGGCAUGCCUGUUCGAGCGUCAUUUCAACCCUCAAGCCCAGCUUGGUGUUGGGAGCUGCGUUAGCGCACUCCCCAAAUACAUUGGCGGUCACGUCGAGCUUCCAUAGCGUAGUAAUUUACACAUCGUUACUGGUAAUCGUCGCGGCCACGCCGUUAAACCCCAACUUCUGAAUGUUGACCUCGGAUCAGGUAGGAAUACCCGCUGAACUUAAGCAUAUCAAU
This 490-nucleotide ribosomal RNA is filed under the name Fusarium sp. Ice5-7. RNAcentral's name for it is "eukaryotic LSU rRNA". The stretch from base 137 to 290 matches the Rfam family "5.8S ribosomal RNA". The record is from RNAcentral. Lineage: Eukaryota; Fungi; Ascomycota; Sordariomycetes; Hypocreales; Nectriaceae.